UUGAAAACGUGUUCAUUCCGCCUGAAAAUUAAUUACUAUCUUGGACGCUCCCAAAAUCAUGAAACGAAGCUCAGUGCCGUCAACGCGAAUAUCAACAAACACAGCACAAACGAAAAACAGAAUGUGAAAAACAAGUUAGAACCAGAGAAGAAAAACAUCAAAAUGGACUCAGAAUAACAUUUUGAUAAAUCGUGGUGAGAGUGUUCUACAAGUGGCUGACGAAACGGGCCUUCCACGGUCGAUAGUUUACGGAAUCGAGAAGCAAGAAAUAGCAUUGCGGUAUUGCAAGGCGUUGGUCAACUAAACUAUCCCCUGAUUUCGAGAUAAUAAUAGGAAAUAUAAAGGUAGAGAAACCAGAUGCCGAAAUCGACACAACUAUCGUUAAGGAAGAAUAUGAUGUGAAACUUAAAAAUACGAAUGCAAUCACUCAGCCCAUGGCGCCGAAGAAAUUAACCAAGAACAUUCAUAAACUUAUCAAAAAAGCCUCAAAACACAAAUCUCAUUUACGAUAUGGAUUAAAGGAUGUUCAAGUGCGUCCGCGGAAUAAUGAAACAGGGAAAGCAAUGUGUAUAUUGUGUGUUGAAAUGGAGGUUGCAAUUUAUAAAAAAGAUUGUCAUUUUCGCUGCAGAAAAGUGGAAAUCAUGUGUCACUUGCCAUCUGUUUGUGAGAAACGCAAUAUCCCAUAUUGCUAUACGCCGAGUCGGAAGACUUGGGAGCAGCAGUG
Long non-coding RNA from Toxorhynchites rutilus septentrionalis, 724 nucleotides. RefSeq lists it as uncharacterized. Lineage: Eukaryota; Metazoa; Arthropoda; Insecta; Diptera; Culicidae. The record is from RefSeq and is a predicted model, not a curated record. The transcript has 3 exons.